RNAcentral lists this ribosomal RNA (162 nucleotides) under uncultured bacterium. Its description in RNAcentral is "partial 16S rRNA". It matches the Rfam family "Bacterial small subunit ribosomal RNA", at positions 355 to 510 of the family's 1533-position model. The record is from RNAcentral.
UAGGGAAUCUUCCACAAUGGACGAAAGUCUGAUGGAGCAACGCCGCGUGAGUGAAGAAGGGUUUCGGCUCGUAAACUCUGUUGUUAAAGAAGAACAUAUCUGAGAGUAACUGUUCAGGUAUUGACGGUAUUUAACCAGAAAGCCACGGCUAACUACGUGCCA